CUUAAGUUAAGGAUUAGAGCUCCCAGGACUGAGUAUCGCCCAGUGCCUGGGUUGUCUAGAGCUAAUUCCCCUUCCAGCUCCAGGAGGGAGCGAUUCCAGGACCCCAAUCAAGCCAUGGCGAAGGAGGGAAAGAGUGCUGGGGUUCGUCCCUUGUUCCAGCUAGGAAGCGGUCCUUGGCGGAGAUACCCAGGGUAGAGGGAGCUCCGUUACAGCCUCACUGACUGCGUGGAGGACGAUGGGAGUAUGCCUCACUGACUGCGUGGGGGACGAUGGGAGUACACCUCACCGACUGGUUGGGGGAUGCUGGGAGUACGCCUCACCGACUGCGUGGAGGACGAUGGGAGUACGCCUCACUGACUGCGUGGGGGACGAUGGGAGUACGCCUCUCCGACUGCUUGGCAGACGCUGGGAGCACACCUCACUAACUGCUUGGAGGACAAUGGGAGUAUACCUCAUUGACUGCGUGAAGGACGAUGGGAGUAUGCCU
Molecule: non-coding RNA, 487 nt
Organism: Pelobates cultripes (western spadefoot toad)
Lineage: Eukaryota; Metazoa; Chordata; Amphibia; Anura; Pelobatidae
Source: the annotation of a GenBank genome assembly